This 2922-nucleotide long non-coding RNA is filed under the name Podarcis lilfordi (Lilford's wall lizard). Lineage: Eukaryota; Metazoa; Chordata; Lepidosauria; Squamata; Lacertidae. The record is from RNAcentral.
GGAUAUUACGCAAAACAAACAGGUGAGGGAUCAUGAAAAAAAGCCCUUUUGCAGCAGGUGAUAAAAGUCUUGUGAUGGAGUGGAGCAGGAGUUGUGUAGAAUUAAAUUGGAUUGUGUCUGGUGCAGAGUUGUUGGGCUCUUUUGGGGGAAAUGUAGCAGUUUUUGGAUUUUGUUUUGAUGGACUAAGACAAUUUCCCUUUUGAAAUGGUUACUGGUGUGUUUUAAUAUUCAGGAACUUUUCUGCUUGCGUAAGCAGCUGAGUUCUGCUCGUGAAUAAUUCCUGCACAGUAUGAAAUGGCGCAGAUGCCUAGGCAUGGACAAAGACUUCAGAGAGCCAGAGUAGAAUUUAUUUGCUUCAUAGGCCCAAUAAUAAAAUUCUAGGUGCAUAGGAAGGCGCUGACUGGCUUUUCAGAAGAAUCAGCAUUGAACUAUUGUCAUUCAUGUGGGGAUGGGGGUGGCUGCCUCAAAAUCACUUGGGAGGAUGAAUGUGCCUAGCCAGCUUUAAUGUGCUGUACCUGAACAGAAAUCCAGAGAGGCAGCCUCCAAUACCUUACUUUAUUUAAUGCAUAUAUUUAACAGGAUCCCAGCAGCAGUAUUAUUGGGAGGAUGAGGGGUGGGGAGGUCAGGACUGGGUGGGCCCACUGGUGAUUAUGACAGAGUUUCUUUACCAGUGAGGUAAAAGAGUUCAGACUUUGCCAUCACCUUUCCCACUCCCUUCACUCUCAUCUCAAGCAGCACUGAGGCAGCUGCCAGGAGGCUAUUCCUGUAGCUUCCGGCAACCCAUUCCUGUUUUUCAAGUGGCUUGUAAUGGCUAUCAGGGUUCCAGGUUGGAGUCCACGCCAGUCCUACCUGGAGAUGCCAGGGUUUGAAGUUGGGGGAUGUUCUACAUGCAAAAUGUAUUCUACAGCCCUACCCUGUUUAUAUUUCCCUCCUUCAGUCAUGAAGAGUUAUCAGAGCAGCUAACAAUUGAAAGUAGUAGCCUAAAAACAGUCAAUCCAUAAUAAAAUAUUAAAAACUGCAAAAGAGAACGGGUAGAUUUAGAAUCGUGUAAGACUAGAAACAAACAGCAGGAAUAAUAAUAAUAAUAAAUAAAUUUCUAGUACCCGCUCAUCUGACUGGGUUGCUCCAGACACACUGGGUGGCUUCCAGCAGAAUACACAGAACACACAAUACAUCAGACAUUAAAAGGAAAAGACCCAGCGCCAGAGAGAAGGAACAUGUGUCUCUCCAAAUGUUGAACUGCAGCUCAAGUCAGCCCUAGCCAGAAUGGCCUAUUAUGCUAAAGGACUAUGGGAGCUGUAGUUUAGCAAUAUCUCAAGGGCCUCAGGUUCUCCAUCCCAUCGCUGGAAAAAUGCAAAUAUCUUUACUGAGUGCUGAAAAUAUGAAGUCAACAUCAAAGCAAAUAUCUCUCUGGAGUGCAUUCUAGAAACAUGGUCCCACUACUAAGAAAUCUCUGCCUUGGCUUUUCUCAUCUCAGCAACAGAGCAGCUGAAGGCUGCCCACAGGCAAUCCAAGAGGCUGAAGCGGAGUCAAUGGCGCUUUGAGGUAUUUGGUCUUGACCUACUCAGGGCUGGGAGGCCGUGGGGACAGCACUUCAAAUUGUGUUUUGAAGUGGACUGGUUGCCAAUGGACUUAUUUCAAAACUGACAAGAAUUUGAUUUAAAAUGUCGAGCCCAGUCUAGCGGCCGCAUUUUAUACUAGCUGAAACACAUGUGAAGUCUUCAAAGAAAUCCCUUAGUGAACAAUGCACUAAUCCAAAAUGUACACACAGCUUCCAUGAAGCUGUGUUUUCUGCCUUUGUACAUCUUUAGGCCUCAGCAGCGAAUGGGCUCCAAGUAGCUAGGUUCGGGUGUCAGAAGCAGGUGCUACAUUGUUCAAAACAGCCAGGGAAGCACUUCAGGCCGGGACAUAGUCACUUAGGCAGCCAGCACUUUCUUACCAGCCAACACCAAGACUUUGUAGGGCCUGGUGGCAAAGAUCCCCCUCAGGGCUGUCUACAUUCACCCACUCCAUUUUGCACUUUUGACCGAACGCUUCACUGAAGCAGCAUGUAAUAAUAACCCAUUAAGUGUUCUUUAACACAGGUAACAUCCAGCACAAACAGGGCCUUUUUUCUGAUGAUGUUAUCUUGUAUGAUUUGUUUCUGAAUUUUUUGUUCCAGAGAGACAAAAAAGAAAGAGAACAAAUUGGUUUGACGUCUGGCUGAGGAUUGAUUGCAGCAAAUGAGAAAUGAUAGCUAGACAUGUUCCAUUUUAGGUUAUUUCUAAUGGUUUUUCUUAUAACUGGAUCCGAGACACUUGGGAGCUUUAGAGUGUCAAUCUCACUUUAAUACUGCUGGUCUAGUGAUCUGACGGUAAUUGACAAAAGAGAGUUCCAACAAUGGAGAAAUUAAGUCUUACGUGAUUACACAGGGUAAUUGUGUUAAACAAGAUAGCUCUUCCAAAGCUUUUGUUCUCCUCACAAAGAGGGCCUAUCCACAUACAUGGAAAGGCUUUGAAAUCUCUGCAAGCCAUGUCUAAUCACUUCAUGUGGCUUGGUAAAAAGCUUAGAUUUGGGGGGAAAUGGGCGGAAGAGACCCCCCAUACAUAGCUGUCAAUGUUUCCCUUUUUUAAAGGGAAAUUCCCUUAUUCCAAAUAGGAUUCCUCACAAGAAAAGGGAAAAGUUGACAGCUAUGCCGCCAUAGCCUGUUCUCUUGCAGUUUGAGUCUUGUGUUGUAAUACUGCUUGCCAGCUAAGAAAUGUAUUGCUUUGUAAUUAUUAUUAUAUAUUCAUUAUACACUUACAUUUAGAAAAACUACGACGAUGGCGACUAGUUGGAUUUUGAGCAGCUACAUUCAGGACAGAGCUCUGUGGAGAAUCUUAUGGCUGCUAACAAAUAAAUCCAAACCCAAACUGUCAUUGAUGGGCCUAUCUAUGAAUCCCU